Molecule: non-coding RNA, 5017 nt
Organism: Meleagris gallopavo (turkey)
Lineage: Eukaryota; Metazoa; Chordata; Aves; Galliformes; Phasianidae
Source: RefSeq, a predicted model, not a curated record
UCCUUCUCUGGAGGUAUUGCAGACCUAUCUUAACACUUUGUUGUGCAACCUACUGUAAGGAACCUGCCUUAGCAGGGAGUUGGACUAGGUGAUAUGCAGAGGUCUCUUCCAGUUCCUACAAUUCUGUGAUUAUGUAAUGUCAGGUAGUAUCACAGAGGCAAAUGAAUUGAAAGAGGCUGGAAUCAAGACAUCAGCAGAGAAGUGUUUUGAGUAAGCACCUCUUGUCCAAGUGAAACACUUCUGGCUCAGAAAGAUUCAUUGCUGCAGUUUGGAAACAAUGCCAGCGUUGAUGUCUGAGACACAAAAGGCAGUGGAAGAGAUCUCAGAGAGCUUUGAAAGAUUUGUACAGCUGAGUCUCAAGGAUACAAAGGUGUCAUUGUUAAAGGCAGAGAUGAAUGGUAUAAAUAUAGGUACAACAUAAAAAUAAGAAUUUGGCAGCAAGAAGAGAACAUAGGUUUUAGCUAGUACAUUAAGACAAAGGAUGAAAGGGAGCUGGAACUGUGACAUGAGGCAACCAGAGAUACGUAAGUGAUCAGAUACCUUAAAUGGGGACACUGUCUGCAUCGUCUCAUGACUUAUCCCUGAAGAAGUGACAAACAUAUAAAGGCUAUUUAAUGAUUGAAGGACAGGGUUUUAAGUUCUCCCAUGAAAAUGAGACAAUGAAAAUACUGAAGAUUACAGCAUAUAUCAAAAACCUUUUAAGAAAAGGAGAGGCUGUGUCUUCAGCCAAAUGCUAAGGAAAGUAAACAAAAGCAAGCAGUCAAUAUCAAGUCUAAGUAAAGGUUUUGAAGAAUAAAAGCAGGGCAAGGGAACGCAAAAGGCAAAAAUCAACUGACAGCAGAAGUAAUGUGAGAAAUAAAAGGUAAUGAUACGAAGUAUGAAAUGCAGACAUUAAAAGACUGUCAGUCAUUGUUAAGGAGUGCAAGAUCUGGGAACAUAUCAAGGUUUUUUUGCUCUUUUCUGGCUCUCAUACUGCACUUUCUGAGUCAAAGAUUUCAGGCUAAGAUCAGGCUGGAGUGUCUUCUUCAGGCUUGGCUUCUUUUUUUUUUUUUUCUUUGAAUAAAGAAAUUGAGAAGUUGUUUCCAGUUUAAUCAAUGGCAAAACUUUCUGAUGACUUCAAGCACCAAAACUGAACUCAAAACAGAGAUUGCUGCAGUUUCACACCACCCUGUUCCAUCUGAAGAAGUAUCUCACCUCUUUUGAAAACUCUGCGUAUUUCCCUGGUGCUCAGAUGUGUAGAUGCAUGUAGUCGUGACAAGUCAGAUUUGAAAAUUAUUUUCUGUAGCUUGAUUAUUUUGAAAGUAAGUGCGAAGUGUUUUAGUGGUGAUCUGAUGGCAGGAAGUUACCCAGGAAAUGAGACACACCUCAGAAAGAAAGAAGUAUGAGUAAAAAAGCUAACAAUUUUAUACUUCCGUUACUGUCUAUAAAUUCACGGGAUGUUUGUUUGGUCUUUUUGAUCAAUGCCACUCACAUCUUCCACCAGGACUUGUAAGCCAGCAUCCUUAUAAUGGUCACUGAGUUCUGAAAACCAGCAUCUCAACAGCAGCUAGAUUUAUAAGUUUGGUGGGGGUAAAAUAACAGCACGUUAGUAUUUCUGGAGGAAAGAAGACCCUUAUUGCUCAGUAUCCAGAAGUUACUCCUCAGUUUGCCAGCCUUCACUACGCAUCAAGCAAACGCUCAAUUUGCCAAAUGACACCAAUCUCCCCUAUCGUGGCCUAACCCCAGGCAAUCAGGUUGAAGACUGAACUGUUGUGACUGAACUUGGCCACAUUUGAUUUCUAUAUCUGACAAAAGGCAAAGUGUCCAAAUUCAUUUUGAUAAAUAAUUUCCAAGUGCUUUGCAAGGCAGAAGAAAUCUCUUCCAAAACAAGUUUCUUAGAGACUUAAAGAAGAAUGACAGGAGACAAAAGGUGUUUACUUUAUCAGAGAAGUCACAUUGCUAAAUGCUAACCACAGUUAACCACAGACUUUAGACACAGAAACUGCAUGCACACAGAUCUGGAGAAUGUCACAAUCUGCUAUUGCUAAGAAGCCUCUUAGCUUAGAAGAAGUCUGCUUUUGCAGAUGCCUGAAACAUCAGCAGUUUCAGAGCAGUUUCAUAAUUAGAACUAAUUAAAAAAGCAGCUCUGGGUACAGGAUCUUUAAUACAGAUAUCCAUACAUAGCAGCUGUUCUAAGUGCAGACGAGAACUUGAAGGGUUUUUACAUACUGUAACAGCAGGAAACAGUUCUUUGGAACUGAGUAUGUAGGAGGAGAAAGCAACGUUACUGUGGACUUUCAUUGCCUGUGUUCUCUGAACAACAUGAAAUUUGUCUGGAAUUUAGGCACCAUCUAUUAGCACAUAACUUCCUUUUCCCCUUGUGCCAAUUCUUUAUUGUUCUGCUCCCGUAACAAAUGCCAAAUUCAAACUGUGAAAGCACAGAAGGUGGAAAACCAUGAACACAAGAUGUGAAAGGAGUGAAAGCAAGUGAUGUUCCCGCUGGAGCAUCAGAGCUUACAAAUUUCAUGACUAUUUAAGCCCAAAUUCUAGCUCUGUUCCUCCAAAUUCUAACAGGAACAGCUGAUGUAAAAGAGCCACACUGGACCACAUUAAUGCAAAUGUGGCCCAGCAACCUGUCUCAGAAGUGGCCAGAAGCAGUAGGAAGAGAAUAUAUUUGCCCUUUUCUUACAGGAAGAGGUUACCCUUCACAUGCCUACCCAGCUUCUGUUACGGCUCUGAAAAAGGUAUAGCUUCAAUGUCUCAUUUUCCUGUGUCAAUGUCCAAUUCUGUAAUGAUGUCUUUGUCAGCCAAACUGGCUUGAGAUGUUAUCUGUUCUCCCCCCAGCCACUCAUUCCUCAUACUGUGUCACAGCCACUGCUGCUGUGGUGCUGACGUGGAUGUUUCACAAACCAUAUUGUAAAGUGGAUCGCUGGGGUCUAAAAAGAAGGUUAAGAAAGAAAGAUUGGCUCACUGAUCUAGUUUAUAGGCCCACAGAGAGACAGAUGCAGCAGCACAACCAGAGGGAUUAAACUGUGGGACUGCGACAAUAAUCUUUCAAGCUGAUUUUGCUGACAGAAAAAAUAGGAGGGAGGCAUACUCCAAGGUUGGGGAGGAGGGGAAGAGCUGUGCCUACCAUUUGAAACAGUUAUUCUACCUUCCACAUCUCCCCAGUCAUCCACCCACACAGUCUUGUGUGAACGACCUGCUGAAUUCCUGUCCCUUCAUUGUGGUUCUUGCUUCAGAUUCAGUGAAAGAGAAAUGUGUUCUUACUUUGUUAACAUACUACCGACAAGACCUGCAGCUGGAAGACGGAAUGUUUGCGUGCAGCAUCUCUGCUGGGGUAUAGAUCAGAGGCAUAAAUCUCUACCCAUCAGUUAGGUAGCACAGUAGAGAAAAGCUCCCCUUGGAGCUUGUGAGUUCCUCCAAACCCUGGGAUGGAAUUGCAACUCCAUUAUGCAAGGUUGCAGGCACCGCAUUCCUGAUCUGACAUACCAAGAACAAUGGCCCAGAGCUCUUUACCUCCAAGGAAUUCAAAUAUAAUUAUCACUGCCAUGAUACAAGAGCCCAAGGUCUCUUCAGAUCACUGUAAUGUCUUCUUUAAAACUGGAAACCUGGAUUGUACUCUCCUGGAGGUGACUCUGGGUGGAAAUUCCUGGGGCAGGGAAGAACCAGAUCUGGACUCCCGUGUCUUGAAGCGGGUGCUACCUCAGCAGUAGUUCCAUUUACAAAGCCAGGUUUGCAUAAAGCAGAUGCUUGCCCCCCUGCACACCUCUCUGUGCCCUGGCUGGCUGAUCCUGCACACACAGCACUGUGAAGGGAGAGGCCUCUGUCCCUUCAUCAGUGAGCCAAACCUGGCAUCACCCUGAUAACCAUAACCUCACCUCUUAGCACUGCACUGCCCCACAGCCACCGUGGCACCAGCACCCCUCCUCUUCCUCCUCCAAGGCAAACAGGAAAACUGAGGGGCUGGGGUCUGUCUGUCUCUGAGCUGGAAGAGGCAAUCCCAGGGUUGGGAAACUGGGGUAAGGACAACUGAAGUCAGAACACUAAACAUUAAAUGCCCUAUGAGGGCACAAAACUUUGUGCUGCUGCUCUCUAAUCUCUGUUUCCUGUUAGGUUCCUGGAGCAAGGUGGAGUGAGAUACUUUAACCCAGCUAUGAUUCAGUAUCCAUGUGAACAGCAUCACGCUUCCUUUGCCACCUGUCCUGCACCCUGUGCACCCACUAGCACAGAUGAGGUGCUCCACUCAUUCUCCCCAGAGGCUGUCUUUGUGCCCAAGGAUCUGCCUGGAGGGCAGUAGUGAAAUGGAACUGGGGAAAGUGUAGCUCAGACCUAUAGAACCCCAGCUGCACAGUGGGCAGUGCAACAAGGAUCUUGUAGAUCUAUGUCUCCUGGCCUGGACAGGGCUGUGUGGGGACAACUCAUCAUUCCCAAUGGCAGCCUCCCAAGUACAGUGGUUCUUUUUGGGAACAUCCCUCCCCGCCUCUUCUCUCUGAAGGAGACAUCUCCUGAAAACAUUCCCCCCUUUAUCGCAUCACAUCACGUUACAGUCCUCCUUACUUACUGCAGUACUGCAGUAGUGCAGGUUGCUUCUCAAGCCAACAUCAGCCCUUGGUCCUUUCCCUAGAGAGCUUUCAUGCCCAAAUGAACCACGUGAGCUCCAUGAGGUGGCAAUGAGAAGUAAAGAAAGGCAGAGAUUGGCCCCAGUGCCCAUAGCAUGAACCAGAUGGGAUGUGCGACAGGAUCUGCUCUGACUGGGCAGGCUGGGGAAGCAAGGAUCUCACGGCAGCAUGCAGCCACUUCACAUACGAUGGAAAAUGUUUCAACUGCUGGAGCUGAGGCCCACAGGAAAAUUUUGGGAAGUGUGUGCUGGGUCUAAGACAGGAACCAAGAGAGUCAGUGUUUAAAAUAUGCACUGACAAUGAAUUGCUUCAUUACUUAGAGAAAAGUUGAGAAGGGAGAAAGGAGUAAAACUCAGCUACAUUAGGAAACAGGCAAGCUAUUGUCUGAUGGGUACACCAGGUUGUUGACUGCUGGC